This 1233-nucleotide long non-coding RNA is filed under the name Gossypium barbadense (sea-island cotton). RNAcentral describes it as "long non-coding RNA (GBAR_LNC016159)". Lineage: Eukaryota; Viridiplantae; Streptophyta; Magnoliopsida; Malvales; Malvaceae. The record is from RNAcentral.
GAAAUUAUUCGAGCAAAUACGAGGUAAGUUCGUGUAGCUAGAAUUAAAUUAUUAAAUAUUUGUAAUUGUCCAAAAAUGAAUGUAUGUAAGUUGAAUGAAUGAUAUACUUGAAUUUUAAAUUACCGGUAUACUAUUAUAUUACUGUUUACAUGAAUGCAAAUGAAAUGUUACAAAUACUAUAUACGUUAUAUAGAUUUGGCAUGAUAAUAGGCAUUGAAUAUGAAAUUUUGAGUAUUUAAAUGUAUGUACUUAAUAAUAUUAGAUAUAUAUAUAUACACAUAUGAAUUGAGAAAUUGAGUUAUUGAUUUUGCAUUGCUUAAUUGAUGAAAUUGAAUAAUACUGAGCCCGUUUGAACUUUAGAAAAUUGUCGGAUACGAGUGACUUGUCACUAGGGUUACCAUUUGGUCGAGCUCCUGCAUUUGUUACGGACUCACCACAGCUCGUAUGAGCUUACCGUUUCAGCUCAAUAGAGCUUACCAUUUAUCAGCUCGGAAUGAGCUUACCGAUCAUGGCUCGAAAGAGUGAAAAUGACAAUGAAUUGACGAAUUUCUGAUAAAUACACUUAUAGUAUAUCACCCGUGUAUCCCUCGAUGUUCUAAUAGCUUCAACGGGCAGAAUUACUGUUACUGAUUAUAUGAAUAAGCUAUGUAAUUAGAUGGAUGAGUUACCGUUGAUAUGUAUAAGUUAUGGAUAAAUUUCUGUUAUUACCGAUGAAUUGCAGGUUAUAUGAAUAGGAAAGAAUUGAUAUAAAUGUUAUAUGAUUUACAUGAUUUAAAAGUUACAUGAAAUACAUGAUUUACAUGGAUUGUUGUUUUAUGAAUAUAUGAAUUAUAGGGACGACAUGAUAUAUUUGGCUAUAUGACUAACUCGUGGAUGGUGAUGUGAAUAGACUUUGUGGACAAAUAAAUUGAUUUUAAUUGUUUUAAUGCUUAGAUAUUAAAUUGAAAAAUUUUAAUUCUAUAUUAUACGGCUUACUAAGCUUAGUGCUUACUUCAUUCAUUUUCUUAUGUUCUAUAGAUUCGGAAGCUAGCUCGAUUUUGGACAAGGUCAGAGAUUGGCUAUCACACUAUCAAAACGAUUUUUGGUACUUUUGGACCUCAUGCAAUUAAUGUAAAUAUGGCAUGUAUAGAUAGUUUUUGGUAUGAAUUUUUGGGUUUGAUCAAGCUAUGUGAUAUGGCUUGAGUUGGAAAUGUUUAGUUUAGAAUGGAAACAUUAUGUGUUAUGUUCAUUUUG